UACGUAGGGGGCAAGCGUUAUCCGGAUUUACUGGGUGUAAAGGGAGCGUAGACGGCCAGACAAGUCUGAAGUGAAAAUCCAGCGCUUAACGUUGGAAGUGCUUUGGAAACUGCCGGGCUGGAGUGCAGGAGGGGCAGGCGGAAUUCCUAGUGUAGCGGUGAAAUGCGUAGAUAUUAGGAGGAACACCAGUGGCGAAGGCGGCCUGCUGGACUGCAACUGACGUUGAGGCUCGAAGGCGUGGGGAGCAAAUAGG
This 253-nucleotide ribosomal RNA is filed under the name uncultured bacterium. RNAcentral's name for it is "partial 16S ribosomal RNA". It matches the Rfam family "Bacterial small subunit ribosomal RNA", at positions 524 to 776 of the family's 1533-position model. The record is from RNAcentral.